CCUACGGGGGGGCUGCAGUGGGGAAUAUUGGACAAUGGGCGAAAGCCUGAUCCAGCCAUGCCGCGUGUGUGAAGAAGGCCUUCGGGUUGUAAAGCACUUUCAGUGGGGAAGAAAGCCUUGGGGCUAAUACCCUCGAGGAAGGACAUCACCCACAGAAGAAGCACCGGCUAACUCCGUGCCAGCAGCCGCGGUAAUACGGAGGGUGCGAGCGUUAAUCGGAAUUACUGGGCGUAAAGCGCGCGUAGGCGGUCUGAUAAGCCGGUUGUGAAAGCCCCGGGCUCAACCUGGGAACGGCAUCCGGAACUGUCAGGCUAGAGUGCAGGAGAGGAAGGUAGAAUUCCCGGUGUAGCGGUGAAAUGCGUAGAGAUCGGGAGGAAUACCAGUGGCGAAGGCGGCCUUCUGGACUGACACUGACGCUGAGGUGCGAAAGCGUGGGUAGCAAACAGGAUUAGAUACCCUAGUAGUC
This 466-nucleotide ribosomal RNA is filed under the name Vreelandella stevensii. Its description in RNAcentral is "partial 16S ribosomal RNA". It matches the Rfam family "Bacterial small subunit ribosomal RNA", at positions 338 to 795 of the family's 1533-position model. The record is from RNAcentral. Lineage: Bacteria; Pseudomonadati; Pseudomonadota; Gammaproteobacteria; Oceanospirillales; Halomonadaceae.